This 198-nucleotide ribosomal RNA is filed under the name uncultured bacterium. Its description in RNAcentral is "partial 16S ribosomal RNA". It matches the Rfam family "Bacterial small subunit ribosomal RNA", at positions 326 to 539 of the family's 1533-position model. The record is from RNAcentral.
ACGCUCGACACCUACGGGAUGCAGCAGUGGGGGAUAUUGCACAAUGGGGGGAACCCUGAUGCAGCGACGCCGCGUGAGGGAAGAAGGUUUUCGGAUUGUAAACCUCUGUCCUCAGGGAAGAAGAUGACGGUACCUGAGGAGGAAGCCACGGCUAACUACGUGCCAGCAGCCGCGGUAAUCUGAGCGGGCUGGCAAGGC